Pieris brassicae (large cabbage white) is the source of this 755-nucleotide long non-coding RNA. RefSeq lists it as uncharacterized. The transcript has 5 exons. NCBI's taxonomy places the organism in Eukaryota, Metazoa, Arthropoda, Insecta, Lepidoptera, Pieridae. The record is from RefSeq and is a predicted model, not a curated record.
UCUGUAUCAUUAUGGCUUCAAAAAUGUCAAAUAAAAAUAAAUUAAUUAUGUGUUUUGGAACUUGGAGAUGACAAACUCUAGUGCAGUUUUAGUGGCGCUCGCAUUGAUUGUUAGCGAAUUAAAUUUAUUACACAAUGUAAACCUUUUAAUAGAGGACUUCUUUCCGUCAAACAUAGUUUUUCUUCUUAGUAUCUGUAUCCUCCUGGAACAGCUGCGAGUAAUAUCAGUGCUACGUCUGUACUCACCUUUAAGUUUUAUAUUUGAGAUUCUUUUCUCGCUGUUUAUUCUAGAAUGUUCACUGCUAUACAUUUGGCGGCCUCUACAGUUAUACCUACUAGUCAACGCUGAUGAUAUCCUAGUACAAUUAUAUGAGAACGAGACAUUUAACUGGCUUGUUUGUCCCCUGUGUUGUGGUACCCGUAACCCUGCGCCGGACUUUGCUCGCCUGGUUCGGAUCCCGGCUGUGCACCAAUGGACUUUCUAUGAGCGCAUUCAACAUUCGCUCGAACGGUGAAGGAAAUAGUGCAGAAACCGGCUUGCCUUAGACCCAAAAAGUUCUGACCUACUUGCCAAGUGACAAGUGACCAUGUAACAGAUAAAGACAUUUGAGGUCCAGACAUAAAAAGUUAAGGAACUUGAAUGAUACGUAUUAGGAAGAAUUUCUAUAAGUUUUUGAUAAGUUUUGGAAUAAGCCCCUUAACAAUGAAAUUGCCCCUUUGUAGGGCGUGGGCCUUACGUUGGAAAACACUGCCUUC